This is a non-coding RNA of Styela clava, 84 nucleotides long. The record is from the annotation of a RefSeq genome assembly. NCBI's taxonomy places the organism in Eukaryota, Metazoa, Chordata, Ascidiacea, Stolidobranchia, Styelidae.
GCUCCAGUGGCGCAAUCGGUUAGCGCGCCGUACUUAUAAUGCGGAGCAGUGCGGAGGUUGUGAGUUCGAGCCUCACCUGGAGCA